CGCGGGGUGGAGCAGUCUGGUAGCUCGUCGGGCUCAUAACCCGAAGGUNGUAGGUUCAAAUCCUGCCCCCGCAACCA
Molecule: transfer RNA, 77 nt
Filed under: Idiomarinaceae bacterium
Lineage: Bacteria; Pseudomonadati; Pseudomonadota; Gammaproteobacteria; Alteromonadales; Idiomarinaceae
Description: tRNA-Met
Rfam family: tRNA
About the family: Transfer RNA (tRNA) molecules are approximately 80 nucleotides in length. Their secondary structure includes four short double-helical elements and three loops (D, anti-codon, and T loops).
Source: RNAcentral